GAAGAAUUAGUUUAAACCAAAACAUUAAUUUGUCAAAUUAAAAAUAUUAUUAAAUAUUCUUUU
RNAcentral lists this transfer RNA (63 nucleotides) under Bryanellocoris orientalis. Its description in RNAcentral is "tRNA-Asp". The record is from RNAcentral. Lineage: Eukaryota; Metazoa; Arthropoda; Insecta; Hemiptera; Rhyparochromidae.